RNAcentral lists this transfer RNA (86 nucleotides) under Lignipirellula cremea. RNAcentral's name for it is "Planctomycetes bacterium Pla85_3_4 tRNA-Ser". Lineage: Bacteria; Pseudomonadati; Planctomycetota; Planctomycetia; Pirellulales; Pirellulaceae. The record is from RNAcentral.
GGAAGUCAUCCGGCCAGAUAAGGAGCCUGUAUUGAAAACAGGUGGUCGCGAUCGCGACUGGUGAGUUCGAGCCUCACGGCUUCCGC